GCCCCGCUAGCUCAGUGGAAGAGCACCUGCCUUCUAAGCAGAUGGUCCGGGGUUCGAAUCCUCGGCGGGGCGCCA
Molecule: transfer RNA, 75 nt
Filed under: Chloroflexota bacterium
Lineage: Bacteria; Bacillati; Chloroflexota
Also listed under: 1 other name
Description: Chloroflexi bacterium tRNA-Arg
Rfam family: tRNA
About the family: Transfer RNA (tRNA) molecules are approximately 80 nucleotides in length. Their secondary structure includes four short double-helical elements and three loops (D, anti-codon, and T loops).
Source: RNAcentral